GGAGGCGUAGCGCAGCCUGGCAGCGCGUCAGCUUUGGGAGCUGAAGGUCGUGGCCCCGCCUUCA
Molecule: transfer RNA, 64 nt
Filed under: Lentisphaerota bacterium
Lineage: Bacteria; Pseudomonadati; Lentisphaerota
Also listed under: 2 other names
Description: Lentisphaerae bacterium (marine metagenome) tRNA-Pro
Rfam family: tRNA
About the family: Transfer RNA (tRNA) molecules are approximately 80 nucleotides in length. Their secondary structure includes four short double-helical elements and three loops (D, anti-codon, and T loops).
Source: RNAcentral